GGGUUGUGAGGUUAAGCGACUAAGCGUACACGGUGGAUGCCCUGGCAGUCAGAGGCGAUGAAGGACGUGCUAAUCUGCGAUAAGCGUCGGUAAGGUGAUAUGAACCGUUAUAACCGGCGAUUUCCGAAUGGGGAAACCCAGUGUGAUUCGUCACACUAUCAUUAACUGAAUCCAUAGGUUAAUGAGGCGAACCGGGGGAACUGAAACAUCUAAGUACCCCGAGGAAAAGAAAUCAACCGAGAUUCCCCCAGUAGCGGCGAGCGAACGGGGAGGAGCCCAGAGCCUGAAUCAGUGUGUGUGUUAGUGGAAGCGUCUGGAAAGGCGUGCGAUACAGGGUGACAGCCCCGUACACAAAAAUGCACAUACUGUGAGCUCGAUGAGUAGGGCGGGACACGUGGUAUCCUGUCUGAAUAUGGGGGGACCAUCCUCCAAGGCUAAAUACUCCUGACUGACCGAUAGUGAACCAGUACCGUGAGGGAAAGGCGAAAAGAACCCCGGCGAGGGGAGUGAAAAAGAACCUGAAACCGUGUACGUACAAGCAGUGGGAGCCUCUUAAUGGGGUGACUGCGUACCUUUUGUAUAAUGGGUCAGCGACUUAUAUUCUGUAGCAAGGUUAACCGAAUAGGGGAGCCGAAGGGAAACCGAGUCUUAACUGGGCGUUAAGUUGCAGGGUAUAGACCCGAAACCCGGUGAUCUAGCCAUGGGCAGGUUGAAGGUUGGGUAACACUAACUGGAGGACCGAACCGACUAAUGUUGAAAAAUUAGCGGAUGACUUGUGGCUGGGGGUGAAAGGCCAAUCAAACCGGGAGAUAGCUGGUUCUCCCCGAAAGCUAUUUAGGUAGCGCCUCGUGAAUUCAUCUCCGGGGGUAGAGCACUGUUUCGGCAAGGGGGUCAUCCCGACUUACCAACCCGAUGCAAACUGCGAAUACCGGAGAAUGUUAUCACGGGAGACACACGGCGGGUGCUAACGUCCGUCGUGAAGAGGGAAACAACCCAGACCGCCAGCUAAGGUCCCAAAGUCAUGGUUAAGUGGGAAACGAUGUGGGAAGGCCCAGACAGCCAGGAUGUUGGCUUAGAAGCAGCCAUCAUUUAAAGAAAGCGUAAUAGCUCACUGGUCGAGUCGGCCUGCGCGGAAGAUGUAACGGGGCUAAACCAUGCACCGAAGCUGCGGCAGCGACACUAUGUGUUGUUGGGUAGGGGAGCGUUCUGUAAGCCUGUGAAGGUGUACUGUGAGGUAUGCUGGAGGUAUCAGAAGUGCGAAUGCUGACAUAAGUAACGAUAAAGCGGGUGAAAAGCCCGCUCGCCGGAAGACCAAGGGUUCCUGUCCAACGUUAAUCGGGGCAGGGUGAGUCGACCCCUAAGGCGAGGCCGAAAGGCGUAGUCGAUGGGAAACAGGUUAAUAUUCCUGUACUUGGUGUUACUGCGAAGGGGGGACGGAGAAGGCUAUGUUGGCCGGGCGACGGUUGUCCCGGUUUAAGCGUGUAGGCUGGUUUUCCAGGCAAAUCCGGAAAAUCAAGGCUGAGGCGUGAUGACGAGGCACUACGGUGCUGAAGCAACAAAUGCCCUGCUUCCAGGAAAAGCCUCUAAGCAUCAGGUAACAUCAAAUCGUACCCCAAACCGACACAGGUGGUCAGGUAGAGAAUACCAAGGCGCUUGAGAGAACUCGGGUGAAGGAACUAGGCAAAAUGGUGCCGUAACUUCGGGAGAAGGCAC
This 1713-nucleotide ribosomal RNA is filed under the name Escherichia coli. RNAcentral describes it as "partial 23S ribosomal RNA". It matches the Rfam family "Bacterial large subunit ribosomal RNA", at positions 1 to 1749 of the family's 2925-position model. Lineage: Bacteria; Pseudomonadati; Pseudomonadota; Gammaproteobacteria; Enterobacterales; Enterobacteriaceae. The record is from RNAcentral.